AGUGAACGCUGGCGGUAGGCCUAACACAUGCAAGUCGAACGGCAGCACAGUUAGCGCUUGCUCUUAUGUGUGGCGAGUGGCGGACGGGUGAGGAAUACAUCGGAAUCUACUUUUUCGUGGGGGAUAACGUCGGGAAACUUACGCUAAUACCGCAUACGACCUACGUGUGACAGCAUGGGAUCUUGGGACCUUGUGCGACUGAAUGAGACGAUGUCGGAUUAGCUAGUUGGCGGGGUAAAGGCCUACCAAGGCGACGAUGCGUAGCUGGUCUGAGGGGAUGAUCAGCCACACUGGAACUGAGACACGGUCCAGACGCCUACGGGAGGCAGCAGUGGGGUAUAUUGGACAAAGGGGGGAGGCCUGAUCCAGCCGUACCGCGGGGGGGGAGAAGGCGGUCGGGUUGUAGAGCCCUUUUGUUGGGAGAGAAGAACAGCAGGUUAAUACCCCGCUGUUCUGACGGUACCCAAAGAAUAAGCACCGGCUAACUUCGUG
This 492-nucleotide ribosomal RNA is filed under the name uncultured bacterium. RNAcentral's name for it is "partial 16S ribosomal RNA". It matches the Rfam family "Bacterial small subunit ribosomal RNA", at positions 29 to 507 of the family's 1533-position model. The record is from RNAcentral.